Molecule: long non-coding RNA, 1472 nt
Filed under: Cyanistes caeruleus (blue tit)
Lineage: Eukaryota; Metazoa; Chordata; Aves; Passeriformes; Paridae
Description: lncRNA (ENSCCEG00000024034.1)
Source: RNAcentral
UUUCAAGCCUUUACCUGCAUUCCAGAGUGAAGUCAAAUGUCAAACUUUCCCCCUUUAUCUUUUCUCCUUGACUCAAGAGAAGAUCUCUAUCUUUAGAGAAUGAAACAACUGUUUUCCUUAAAAUGUUUCAAUAGGCCAUGGUUUUGUAAAACAAGCCACUUCUCUGGCAGGUGCUUUGAUUUCAGAGAAUUAAAGUAAUUGCCACAAAAGGCCUGACAAACCCCACAGCUUCUGGAGUAAAAGGAGAAGGAGCUGCACGGAUGUACACAGCAUGUCUGGGCAGGAGGAAAAGGGGGACAGUGAGGGGGGCCUGGUAUUGACUUCUUUAAUUUACUGUCUAUUUUUUUGUUCAAUCCAUUUUGGUCCCAAGAGGAUAUCAAGUUGCUCCUCCUCAGGGACAAGAAGUGAGUGUACAACAGUGAGCCUGAUUUGGGUGCCAGGCUCAGGAAUGAUCAUAGGCAGAAGCUGCUAAACUGGAGAGCAAGGCCAAAGCUCAAGGGGAAGGAAAGACAGGCUGCCCAGGUGCUGCCCUGUUCCUCUGCCCUUCUGUUCAGCCAAGGACAAGCUGCCUCUCACCUGUCUUGCAUCUCCUUUCAGGUAAGAAAAUGCCUUUUUUGUCCUUAAAACUGGGUCAUUAUUUACCUGCAGGCAGAUAGUCCAUAUUUUUUCGGAAUUAGGAAGACUUUUUUCCCCCUGCAGGUCCAGCCCCUGUAUUUGUGACUACAAGUAACAAAAGAGAAUGGCAGGCACAGAGAAUAAGUUUCCACUACUCAAGUAGCAGCCAGGAAGAGGUUGAGAAAAUAUUUUGAUGCCUAUAAAAUCAUCUGAAAAAAAGCAUUUCAGUGAUAUAAAGGGCCUUUCCUUCUCUUCCUGUUUUACACCUUAGAAUAUAUUCUUAACCAGUUUUUCUUCUGAGUUCAUAUUUAAGUUACUUGCUGCUCUAUGGAAAGCUUCACUAGUGCUAAACCUGGGCCAGUCUUCCUUCUGGAUGUGAAGGUGCCAGGAAAUCACACAACAAAGCCAAGUGCCAGCCUCCUGGAGAGGGAAAAGGAAAUAAUCAUUUUCUGUGUGUGCAAUUGUGGCUUCUGGGUGUAAAUCCUGAAUUCUCCCAUAAAAUUCUCUUGUAGGUGAGUUUUGAUUCUUAUGUUUCAGUUUCAAAAUCAAGUCAUGGGCUCCCACUCUCUCCUUUCCUGACAGUGUUCCUUGUAGCAGGAAUGUGCAGAACCCUCAUUUGCAGAUGCAUUUUCUUUCCAGCCAUCCUGCAGAAAAUAUUCUUGAAUAAGAAUUAAAUAUAUGAAGUACUCAAUGUAAACAUUUAGGAAGGCCAGACAUAAGCCAUACAGAGGUCCUAGCCAGUUUGAAGCCAAAACCACAGCCCAAAGCACAGUCUUGGCUCCAUGUCCUUGCACAGGUGGAAGGCUGGCUCUGAGCCUGCAGGAAUUGUCAGGGCUGUACCUUCAAAGACACUCCAA